RNAcentral lists this transfer RNA (57 nucleotides) under Loxodonta africana (African savanna elephant). It matches the Rfam family "tRNA", at positions 8 to 63 of the family's 71-position model. From Rfam's summary of the family: Transfer RNA (tRNA) molecules are approximately 80 nucleotides in length. Their secondary structure includes four short double-helical elements and three loops (D, anti-codon, and T loops). The record is from Rfam by way of RNAcentral. Lineage: Eukaryota; Metazoa; Chordata; Mammalia; Proboscidea; Elephantidae.
UGGCAUAGUGGUUAAGAGCUUGGCUGCUAACCAAAAGGUUGGCGGUUCAAAUCCGCC